This is a non-coding RNA of Punica granatum (pomegranate), 107 nucleotides long. Lineage: Eukaryota; Viridiplantae; Streptophyta; Magnoliopsida; Myrtales; Lythraceae. The record is from Rfam.
GCGCGUACAGACGUGCGAUAAAAUUGGAACUAUACUGAGAAGAUUAGCAUGACCCUUGUGCAAGGAUGUCACACAGCCACGCAGUGACCAUAGAGUGAACUAUUCUU